RNAcentral lists this ribosomal RNA (253 nucleotides) under uncultured bacterium. Its description in RNAcentral is "partial 16S ribosomal RNA". It matches the Rfam family "Bacterial small subunit ribosomal RNA", at positions 524 to 776 of the family's 1533-position model. The record is from RNAcentral.
UACAGAGGGUGCAAGCGUUGUUCGGAAUUACUGGGCGUAAAGGGCGCGUAGGCGGCCUUGCAAGUCAGAUGUGAAAGCCCGAGGCUUAACUUCGGAAGUGCAUUUGAAACUGCAAGGCUAGAGUUCAGUAGAGGUUGGCGGAAUACCCAGUGGAGAGGUGAAAUUCGUAGAUAUUGGGUGGAACACCGGUGGCGAAGGCGGCCAACUGGGCUGACACUGACGCUGAGGCGCGAGAGCAUGGGUAGCAAACAGG